GCAGAACGCGAAGAACCUUACCUGGGUUUGACAUGUACGGAAAAGCCACAGAGAUGUGGUGUCCUUUUGGGCCGUACACAGGUGGUGCAUGGUUGUCGUCAGCUCGUGUCGUGAGAUGUUGGGUUAAGUCCCGCAACGAGCGCAACCCUUGUCCUAUGUUGCCAGCGGGUAAUGCCGGGGACUCGUAGGAGACUGCCGGGGACAACUCGGAGGAAGGUGGGGAUGACGUCAAAUCAUCAUGCCCCUUAUGUCCAGGGCUGCAAACAUGCUACAAUGGCCAGUACAAAGGGCUGCUAUACCGCGAGGUUGAGCGAAUCCCACAAAGCUGGUCUCAGUUCGGAUUGGAGUCUGCAACUCGACUCCAUGAAGCUGGAGUUGCUAGUAAUCCCGGAUCAGCAACGCCGGGGUGAAUACGUUCCCGGGUCUUGUACACACCG
This 437-nucleotide ribosomal RNA is filed under the name uncultured bacterium. RNAcentral's name for it is "bacterial SSU rRNA". It matches the Rfam family "Bacterial small subunit ribosomal RNA", at positions 954 to 1392 of the family's 1533-position model. The record is from RNAcentral.